GUUGUAUGGUUAAGUGACUAAGCGUACACGGUGGAUGCCUGGGCAGUCAGAGGCGAUGAAGGACGUACUAACUUGCGAUAAGCGCAGAUAAGGCAGUAAGAGCCGUUUGAGUCUGCGAUUUCCGAAUGGGGAAACCCAACUGCAUAAGCAGUUACUGUUAACUGAAUACAUAGGUUAACAGAGCAAACCGGGGGAACUGAAACAUCUAAGUACCCCGAGGAGAAGAAAUCAACCGAGAUUCCGGUAGUAGCGGCGAGCGAACCUGGAUUAGCCCUUAAGCACUCGGUGAAGUAGGUGAACAAGCUGGAAAGCUUGGCGAUACAGGGUGAUAGCCCCGUAACCGACGCUUCAUCGAGCGUGAAAUCGAGUAGGGCGGGACACGUGAUAUCCUGUCUGAAUAUGGGGGGACCAUCCUCCAAGGCUAAAUACUCCUGACUGACCGAUAGUGAACCAGUACCGUGAGGGAAAGGCGAAAAGAACCCCUGUGAGGGGAGUGAAAUAGAACCUGAAACCGUGUACGUACAAGCAGUAGGAGCACCUUCGUGGUGUGACUGCGUACCUUUUGUAUAAUGGGUCAGCGACUUAUAUUCAGUGGCAAGGUUAACCGUAUAGGGGAGCCGUAGCGAAAGCGAGUCUUAACUGGGCGCUCAGUCUCUGGAUAUAGACCCGAAACCGGGUGAUCUAGCCAUGGGCAGGUUGAAGGUUGAGUAACAUCAACUGGAGGACCGAACCGACUAAUGUUGAAAAAUUAGCGGAUGACUUGUGGCUAGGGGUGAAAGGCCAAUCAAACUCGGAGAUAGCUGGUUCUCCCCGAAAGCUAUUUAGGUAGCGCCUCGGACGAAUACUACUGGGGGUAGAGCACUGUUAAGGCUAGGGGGUCAUCCCGACUUACCAACCCUUUGCAAACUCCGAAUACCAGUAAGUACUAUCCGGGAGACACACGGCGGGUGCUAACGUCCGUCGUGGAGAGGGAAACAACCCAGACCGCCAGCUAAGGUCCCAAAGUAUUGCUAAGUGGGAAACGAUGUGGGAAGGCUCAGACAGCUAGGAUGUUGGCUUAGAAGCAGCCAUCAUUUAAAGAAAGCGUAAUAGCUCACUAGUCGAGUCGGCCUGCGCGGAAGAUGUAACGGGGCUAAGCAAUACACCGAAGCUGCGGCAAUAUCUUUUAGAUAUUGGGUAGGGGAGCG
This 1187-nucleotide ribosomal RNA is filed under the name Vibrio cholerae. Its description in RNAcentral is "partial 23S ribosomal RNA". It matches the Rfam family "Bacterial large subunit ribosomal RNA", at positions 1 to 1238 of the family's 2925-position model. The record is from RNAcentral. Lineage: Bacteria; Pseudomonadati; Pseudomonadota; Gammaproteobacteria; Vibrionales; Vibrionaceae.